Molecule: ribosomal RNA, 687 nt
Filed under: uncultured archaeon
Lineage: Archaea
Description: bacterial SSU rRNA
Rfam family: Archaeal small subunit ribosomal RNA
Source: RNAcentral
CCUGGAAUGGUUUUUCGCCCAAAGGGGAUUGGAAUCAUGCUCUUCAAUCUUGCCCAAGGAUGGGGCCGCGCCCGAUCAGGUUGUUGGUGGGGUAACGGCUCACCAAGCCUAUAACCGGUACGGGCCGUGAGAGCGGGAGCCCGGAGAUGGGCACUGAGAUAAGGGCCCAGGCCCUACGGGGCGCAGCAGUCGCGAAAACUCCGCAAUGCGCGAAAGCGUGACGGGGCUACCCCGAGUGCCGUCCGCUGAGGAUGGCUUUUCCCCGGUGUAAUGAGCCGGGGGAAUAAGGAGAGGGCAAGUCUGGUGUCAGCCGCCGCGGUAAUACCAGCUCUCCGAGUAGUAGGGACGAUUAUUGGGCUUAAAGCGUCCGUAGCCGGCUUAGCAAGUCUCCUGUUAAAUUCAGCGACCUAAUCGUUGAGCCGCGGGAGAUACUACUAGGCUAGGAGGCGGGAGAGGCCGACGGUAUUCCCGGGGUAGGGGUGAAAUCCUAUAAUCCCGGGAGGACCACCAGUGGCGAAGGCUGUCGGCUAGAACGCGCUCGACGGUGAGGGACGAAAGCUGGGGGAGCGAACCGGAUUAGAUACCCGGGUAGUCCCAGCUGUAAACGAUGCGGGCUAGGUGUUGUGGUGGCUACGAGCCACUUCAGUGCCGCAGGGAAGCCAUUAAGCCCGCCGCCUGGGGAGUACG